Long non-coding RNA from Pan troglodytes (chimpanzee), 356 nucleotides. RefSeq lists it as uncharacterized. The record is from RefSeq and is a predicted model, not a curated record. The transcript is spliced from 3 exons. Lineage: Eukaryota; Metazoa; Chordata; Mammalia; Primates; Hominidae.
UUUCCUGGCUCAUCCUGGCUCAAAAAGCACCCCCACUGAGCACCUUGCGACCCCCACUCCUGCCUGCCAGAGAACAACCCCCCUUUGACUGGAUGUGCAUGAAAUUUGGUGCCAUGACUCGGAUCGGGGGACCUCCCUUGGGAGAUCAAUCCCCUGUCCUCCUGUUCUUUGCUCCAUGAGAAAGAUCCACCUACAACCUCAGGUCCUCAGACUGACCAGCCCAAGGAACAUCUCACCAAUUUUAAAUCAGGUAUACGCCAGAUGGCCUGAAGUAACUGAAGAAUCACAAAAGAAGUGAAUAUGCCCUGCCCCACCUUAACUGAUGACAUUCCACCACAAAAGAAGUGUGAAUGGCC